GAUGAACGCUGGCGGCGUGCCUAAUACAUGCAAGUCGAGCGAACGGACGAGAAGCUUGCUUUUCUGAUGUUAGCGGCGGACGGGUGAGUAACACGUGGAUAACCUACCUAUAAGACUGGGAUAACUUCGGGAAACCGGAGCUAAUACCGGAUAAUAUUUUGAACCGCAUGGUUCAAAAGUUAAAGACGGUCUUGCUGUCACUUAUAGAUAGAUCCUCGCUGCAUUAGCUAGUUGGUAAGGUAACGGCUUACCAAGGCAACGAUGCAUAGCCGACCUGGGAGGGUGAUCGGCCACCCUGGAACUGGGACACGGUCCAGACUCCUACGGGAGGCAGCAGUAGGGAAUCUUCCGAAAUGGGCGAAAGCCUGACGGAGCAACGCCGCGUGAGUGAUGAAGGUCUUCGGAUCGUAAAACUCUGUUAUUAGGGAAGAACAUAUGUGUAAGUAACUGUGCACAUCUUGACGGUACCUAAUCAGAAAGCCACGGCUAACUACGUG
Molecule: ribosomal RNA, 497 nt
Filed under: uncultured bacterium
Lineage: Bacteria
Description: partial 16S ribosomal RNA
Rfam family: Bacterial small subunit ribosomal RNA
Source: RNAcentral